UACGUAGGGGGCAAGCGUUGUCCGGAAUCAUUGGGCGUAAAGCGCGUGUAGGCGGCCCGGUAAGUCCGCUGUGAAAGUCCAGGGCUCAACCCUGGAAUGCCGGUGGAUACUGUCGGGCUAGAGUCCGGAAGAGGCGAGUGGAAUUCCUGGUGUAGCGGUGAAAUGCGCAGAUAUCAGGAGGAACACCGAUGGCGAAGGCAGCUCGCUGGGACGGUACUGACGCUGAGACGCGAAAGCGUGGGGAGCAAACGGG
This 253-nucleotide ribosomal RNA is filed under the name uncultured bacterium. RNAcentral describes it as "partial 16S ribosomal RNA". It matches the Rfam family "Bacterial small subunit ribosomal RNA", at positions 524 to 776 of the family's 1533-position model. The record is from RNAcentral.